Molecule: long non-coding RNA, 1183 nt
Filed under: Oreochromis niloticus (Nile tilapia)
Lineage: Eukaryota; Metazoa; Chordata; Actinopteri; Cichliformes; Cichlidae
Description: lncRNA (ENSONIG00000042759.1)
Source: RNAcentral
AGAAUGUUAGCUUCAAUUGCCUCCAUGGCUCCGUGUAGCUUUAGCUUGCUAGCACCAUCAGUUUCUUUUGGUGAAAAAACGCCUUCCUCCGCACUUUCUUGAUGAAUUCAUUUUUUCUUUCUCUUCUUACCCCCUGGCAUACUACUAUGAAUAUUCUUAGUUGUGUUAUAACCUGUCAAUUUUCAAGGGGUAACCAGACCACCUGAGAGCUCAAAAAUUAUGCUGCACCAUCCGGAAGUCUAUUUCUAAGGUUUUUAAGGACUUUAACUGAUGCAUCAACCUUUGAAAAUGGAAAGAAAUCAGUCAGAUUCAUGGUUGCAUCAAAGUAUCACAUGUAAUUCUCCCACAUCAGGUGGAUUAUAUCUAUAGCAGCAAACAGCAGCUGAUCCACAAAUCUUUGUCUGUGUUAAUAAAGUUGGAUCAGUUCAAAUAGUUUGUUGCUCUGCACUUGAAAGCAGCAGUUUUUCUAAUGCACCACCUUCAUGUUUCCUUCAUAUUUGAAUCCCCCUGUAGAUACUGACAGGUAACCAUGUCACACAGAGCUCAAGCCUUUGAAUCCAGCUGUGAUUGUUGAUUUUCUAUUGAAUGGACUUUUACAAAUCCAGCUGUAGGCCUGUGUUUGUCAGCUCAUUAACAGCUGUUUAUUUAGAGAUACGUGGUCCUCACAGGACAGCCACUACAAACAUAUGAUUUUAUAGAAUAUGAUGCAUUACUGCAGAUUCAACACAAUAGAAAGGAUUUGAAAUGAGCUCAGCCUUAAACAUGUGCAGCAGUAAUAUUGAUCCAUAGAACACUGAUGGGAACAUUUUUCUGCAAGUACUUUGACUUUUCAUACUUUAUGUCCAAUUUGCCAGUACUGCAGUUUUGUGUGUAGUGAGGUGUUUUCAUGGUGUUUUAUUGGUGCUUUUACUAAAGGAAGGCUUCUAUCAAAUUCUUCCAAAUGUUGUCAAACUGAGCUGUGUGAUGAAGUGAGUGUGACAGAAACACUCAAGACUGUGUUUCUCUGCUUCAUCAAGUCAAAUCUGGUCCUCAGAGACUGAAUAAAGUCCUGUCCCACUAACAGCAGCUCCAACAGUCUGUUCACUGCUUUCUUCCUGUCAGUCUUCAUCUUUCUGCUGUGUCUCCUCUUCAUACUGACCACUUUCUAUCUAACAGUGAGCUCCCAGUGAAGCAGCAGCAUUCA